UUUCCGUAGGUGAACCUGCGGAAGGAUCAUUACCACACCUUAAUUUCGAAUUCGAAGUUGGUUUCGGCCACUUCGUCUUCAGUCACGCGAAAAUGAAUUGUUGGGGUGCGUCUUCGGGCGUAUCCCACCCCAGGAAUGCUUCGGCGCUUCUGGGUCAUUUUAAAUCCGCUUGUUUACAAGUGUGAGAAACAACGCAAUGAUAGAAACUCAUCAGUGAUGUUCUUCGGAAUAUCCCAAUAGAUGAAACGAGUCAAACACUUUCAGCAAUGGAUGUCUUGGCUCCC
Molecule: unclassified non-coding RNA, 284 nt
Filed under: soil metagenome
Description: partial contains small subunit ribosomal RNA, internal transcribed spacer 1, and 5.8S ribosomal RNA
Source: RNAcentral